AAUGAACGCUGGCGGCGUGCCUAAUACAUGCAAGUCGAGCGAACGGACGGGAAGCUUGCGUCUCUGCUGUUAGCGGCGGACGGGCGAGUAACACGUGGAUAACCUACCUCUAAGACUGGGAUAACUUCGGAGAACCGGAGAUAAUACCGGCUGAUAUUUUGAACGGCAUGGUUCAAAAGUGCAAGACAGUUUUGCUGUCACUUAUAGAUGGAUCCGCGCUGCAUUAGCUAGUUGGUAAGGUAACGGCCUACCAAGGCAACGAUGCAUAGCCGACCUGAGAGGGUGAUCGGCCACACUGGAACUGAGACACGGUCCAGACUCCUACGGGAGGCAGCAGUAGGGAAUCUUCCGCAAUGGGCGAAAGCCUGACGGAGCAACGCCGCGUGAGUGAUGAAGGUCUUCGGAUCGUAAAACUCUUUUAUUAGGGAAGAACAUAUGUGUAAGUAACUGUGCACAUCUUGACGGUACCUAAUCAGAAAGCCACGGCUAACUUCGUG
Molecule: ribosomal RNA, 497 nt
Filed under: uncultured bacterium
Lineage: Bacteria
Description: partial 16S ribosomal RNA
Rfam family: Bacterial small subunit ribosomal RNA
Source: RNAcentral